CAUGCCUCUUCAGGCCUGUUAACAAUGUUACAUAUAGAAGACAACUCUUUUGACUUGUCAAUGUGAAUAUAAGGACAGAACUGAGGUGGCUUGUUUUCGUUUUUCUGAGGCCAAGCUGACUCUUCGAAGUUCUCCUUGAUAAUGGCAGCGGCAGCGUUCUCCUCUUGCUUCAGAGGACUGGAGGCAGACUGGCUUGUUGGAGACUUCUCAUUGCCUAGGUUCUUCUUCAGUAAGAUUUCGGAAAUAAUGUCGGAAGGAUGCUUGUGCAACUUCACUGAUGAAGAAAGCAGGGUUUUAAUAUCUAUCUGGAAAGAAGACAGGAUUCAACGAGCACUAAAUGGGCAUCAGAAAAAUCUGUCACUACAGCAGGGCGUCAGCUUCUUUUUUUUUCUUCUUUCCCUAUCAAAGUACGCAUGCUCAGAGUCUGCUCCUGUGAGAAGUACCCCCUGCUGUUUCAAGCAAGUGUGAACGCACCGUUCCGUUAAGGACUGUCCCAGAAUCUUAUCGGAAAGAUUCCGGAACGCUAGUGCAAACGCACCUAAUAUCAUCUAGUUUUUAGGUUAACAAAUAUAUAUUUUUUUUAUAAGCAGACUAAACAUUAUAUUUUGACCAAGCUUAAUUUAGAAGUGUUAUUAUAAAAAAAAGCAGUAAGUUACUGCCGUUGUCAGCUGAAAAUGUUGCAUGUAGGGCAAAACACCUUACAGCUUGUGUUGAUAAACCGUCUGUAUUGUUAGUUUUUUUAACCUUUUGUUUUCCAGAAUUUAUUGUCCUCCAUCUCCUAUCUUUCACCAGUAGACGAUCAAACUGAAGUUUCUAGGGAUAUGCAACUGUACUCUGUGUACCAGUGAACAACAUAAACAAUACACAGUGAAGAGUACUGUGAUACAGUAUGGUCACUAUAGAGGAGUUUUCUACGCUCUGUUGUCUAAAAGGUCCUGGCUUUAUGCAAGUCAUUUUGCUGCAGAAUAAAGGCACUAACUGUGUCUCUUGCAUCUGAUAAAGACAGAUCCUGUCCUCCUGGCUAACUAAAGCCUUCAAAGUGCAAGCACUAUAUGCCAAUUUAACAAAAAAAUAAAUAAAACAAGCUGCAAAUUGGGCAUGUUUAGGGGCUUUAUUAUAAUUCCUGAUUAAGCUGUCCAUUGUCACAAGUGCAGUGGUAGCUGCUUCUUUGUGACGAGGAACGCUGUGCUGUUUAAGAAGCUAUCUGUGUGCAGGGAAGGCGGAAUCUGCUUGUUAAGCUUUAUGGUGGAUAAUCAGGCAUGCACUGAAUGCAGAGGCCUCUCUUGAUCUCAUCAUCCAUUUGGCAGGAAUUACUUUUCUCUAUUUCCCUGCCUCGGUUUCAUUGAAGCCUGAACCCCAUAAGGCUCUAAUGCUCCACCCUGUAUUUACUUUGCCGUCAUCCCCUUUAUUAUGUAUGGCAGAGCAGUUGGGUGGGAAUAGUGAAUACUCCUGGAAGGAAUUCAGACACGGUCCAACACGCUUCUCAAAGGUUGCUUUGCCCUCGUUUUGUUCUACAUAUUUAUGACCUUGAAAUAUGCAAAUUAUUUGGGGCUCUAAUGGGAUUGCAACAUUUUUUUUUCUUUUAAUAAUCAUCAACAAUCUGCUUGUACUAGAAAUUACAAAAUGCUUUAUAGUUGAAAGCAUAAUAGAUUUUUUUUUUUUUUUUCACUAGGAGUACUGUUUGAUACCCGUGAUUAGCAUUUUAAUAUACUCUUCAAUGAGCAUGAUGGCAGCUUCCUUUAGAAGAGUUAGAGUCUGACAGGAAUUCUGAUCAUCGCACUCACUGAAGCGGGCAAAAAACACGGACAACUAAUACCUGUCCUCUUCAUUGCCUGUCUCAAGCUGAAGGUUGUUCCAUAGUGAAUACCUGCUAAUAAACAUGUCUAUUUCA
Acipenser ruthenus (sterlet) is the source of this 1891-nucleotide long non-coding RNA. RefSeq lists it as uncharacterized. NCBI's taxonomy places the organism in Eukaryota, Metazoa, Chordata, Actinopteri, Acipenseriformes, Acipenseridae. The transcript is spliced from 3 exons. The record is from RefSeq and is a predicted model, not a curated record.